GACGAAGGGGGCUAGCGUUGUUCGGAAUUACUGGGCGUAAAGCGAGUGUAGGUGGUUGUCCAAGUUGGAUGUGAAAGCCUUGAGCUCAACUCAAGAAAUGCAUUCAGGACUGGGCGACUUAGAGGACCGGAGAGGAUAGUGGAAUUCCCAGUGUAGUGGUGAAAUACGUAGAUAUUGGGAAGAACACCAGUGGCGAAGGCGCUAUCUGGACGGUUUCUGAACACUAAGACUCGAAAGCGUGGGGAGCAAACAGG
Molecule: ribosomal RNA, 254 nt
Filed under: uncultured bacterium
Lineage: Bacteria
Description: partial 16S ribosomal RNA
Rfam family: Bacterial small subunit ribosomal RNA
Source: RNAcentral